Molecule: long non-coding RNA, 3465 nt
Filed under: Monodelphis domestica (gray short-tailed opossum)
Lineage: Eukaryota; Metazoa; Chordata; Mammalia; Didelphimorphia; Didelphidae
Description: lncRNA (ENSMODG00000040761.1)
Source: RNAcentral
AAGGCCUGCCAGGGAGCAGUUUUGCGGGGGGAUUUAUCACACGGAAGUCCUUUGUUGACGGGAUUUUCAUUUCCAAUUCUCCCACCUAGCCGACUUUUCGGAAGGGUGGAGCGAAGUCUCCCCUCUCUUUUAGGCAGUUGCUGCCUGGUUGUCUUAGAAAGCGCGGCGCUCUCUCAGAGCAGUCCCCUCCCCACCAGCUUCCACCUCUCGGGUCACAAACACUCACUAACUGCGUACUCACUCCGCGGGGAGUUUCGGAGACUAGACACCCAGACAGGAGAAAGUGCAAGGAACCUCCUCACAAGUCAUUCAGUCUCCCUGCCUGCUUUUACAAAGCAGGAAACUGAGGCGGGGUGGGGGCGGCAAGGCAGGACCCCGCGGGAAGCCAGACGCGCCUGGGACGGGUUCCUCUACAAAAGGAGAUUUGAAGCAGGCUUUGGUCUCCUGGGAGGCUUCCUCUCCCCGCCCCACCACGCAGAAGCCACGGAGGGCACCUUUCGGAGCCUUGGCUCCCCUGCCAGGCGGAGCGCUCGGCGGGCUCCUCCAGCCGUGCUCGCCAAGGGCCCCUCCAGGAGGCUGCGAAGGCCCGCCAGGGAGCAUCCUUACCUUGUUGGAGGCCAUCUCGCUGACGGAGCGACACUUCUUAGUGGUAUGACCUGGGAAAGUCAUUUAACCCCCAUUGCUUGGCCCUGACUGCUCUUCUGCCAUGGAACCAGUAUGGAGUAUUGAUUCUAAGAGAGAAGGUAAGUUUAGAAAAAAAAAAAGCUUCCUUAGCUCCUUAAUUCUACCAGGGGGUCUCCUUUGCUUGAUAUUUAAAGCCUAAUUGGAUUCCAACCCAUCUUUCCAAGAUGGUUCCACGCAGCUUCCUUUCCCAAGUCUACAUUCCAGCCAAAGUGGACUCCUUCCAAUUAUGCUGCCAUUUGUCUCUGUCUUUGUCCAGACUGUCCCUCUGGAAUGCUCUCCCUCCUUACCUUGGCCAGCUGGAAUCCCCAAACCCCAUCAAAGCUAACCUCAAGUAACCCCCUUAAAGGAGACUUUUCCUAGACCCCUAGGCCCCCAUUUGUCACUGUUCCCUCCUCCCCCACCCCCAACUCCUCAAACUCCCUUGCAUUUACCUUCAUUUGUCUUGGAUUUCUUUCUCUGCAUCUAGGUUUUCUCUCCCCAGUAGAGCAUGAGCUCUUUGAAAGCAGUUUCUUUCUCACUCUUGUCUUUGUCUUUCCAGGCCCUAAUCUAGUUCCUGGCUCAUGGAAGACAUUUAAUGAAAGCCUUAAAGAAAGCUUGCUGACUUCCACUGUGCUGGAGACAACUGGAGUGAGAAGACCAGGCUGGGAAUAUCUGGGCUGGAAGCUCACCAGAAGCAGCUUCUGAAGGAUGGGCAGAAGCAACCCACCUAAAUAAGAUGCCUGAGAAUCGUGUAGUUGUAGAAUUAGAGGGAGGAGGGAUGUCAGAAGUCAUCUAGUCCAUUAAACAGAUGAAGAAACUGAGAGAGGCCAGUUCUGCUUUGGACACAUUUCAUUGGGAUGCUUCCAUGAUGUCAAAUGUGAGAUGUUCAAAAGGCAGUUGGUGAUACAGGCCUGGAGCUCCGGAGAGGAAGGCAAAUCUAGGAAUCUGGGGCAUUGAGGUAACUGAGCCAUUGGGACCAGAUGGGAUCACCACUUGAAAUAGGACUGAGGGAGGGGACAUAGGCCCCAGCCUUGGGAGAUUUCCACAAUUAGUGGGAAGGACUUGAAGAACCAAGAAGACGGCUGAGCAGCUGGGUAAGUAAGAGAACCAGGAGAGAGAUGUGGCCCAAAAGCCUAGGGAGAAGGGAAUAUGGGGGGUAGGGGAAGAAGGUGAUCAAUAGGGUCAAUGGCUAAAGAUGGGAAUCAGCUGGGGAGGAAAAGGGUCCCACUGAAAUCAGGUCACAUAAAUUUGUAGUGGCCAAAGUCAGUGUGGUUUCCUGAUUCUUCCAUCUCUGUACAAAGAUGAUUCUGGGAUAGGACAAAGGGGGAGGCCAUUGGUCUUUCUCUCCCUCUGACUUGAAAUUUCACUAGUGUGGGGAGCUCCAAGGUGGGGGGCACCUCCUCCAUCAAUGCAGAUCAGCCACUGGGAUGGCAUUUCUAGAAAGUCACAGCUAAGGUCUCAGUGCACCAGGAGAUCAAGUGCCUUGUCCAUGCCCACACAGCUGGAAUGUAUUGGAAGCUGAGCUUGAACCCUGGCAUUCCUGCCUCCAAGGCUGUCCCUCCCACUGUCUCCAGUGGGCUGCCCUUCUUUUCUAUACCUUUUAAUAUAGGGGAAGAGAACAGGCAAAGGUAAUUUCUGCCCAGAGAGCCACCAUAUUAGUUCCUACCCUCAUUGGCUCUUUGUUUAGACAAGGCAAUGAUCUCUAAUUGGCCUCCCUGUUUUCACUCCAUCCUACACACAAUUGCCAGGUGAUUCUCCUCAAGGACAGGCAUUACCAUACCACUCCCCUACUCCAUAAUAUCUACUGGCUCCCUCUUAUUCUAGGAUAUGCCUUAACUCCUCUGCUUGGUUUUAGAGACAUUUAGGGGUUCCACAUCCCUUACCUUUCCCGCCUCUGCAUUUAUAAAAAUUUGAAGUGAUUUUCACUAUUGUCUUCCUCUCCUACAAUGGAUGGGACAUAUACAAGACAUGCCUUUAGGGCUGUUAUAGUCUCAUGCCAAAGGAGGGAGCAAACCCAAGGGAUUUGAUUACACUGUGAUGGGUUAUAGUCUUAUGAGAGGUGGGAAAGUUAAGGGGUGUCAUACCCCAUAAUGACUCCCAAGAGGGAGCAUUUCAGACAAGAUUGAAAGUCAUGAGCUUCAGUGGCUACCUGAUUUGAUGCGUGUGUUUGUCAACACCCUCCUCAGAAGGGAUUGUAUAAUUUUCAUAAAAUUCUAGUUUUACAAAAAGCUAAGAAAUUUUCUAUCUCCCAGAAUCCAGGAAGUGAACUGUUUGAAGAAGGCACCGUGGAGAUGCCUGCAGAAACCUCACACUGCACCAAAGGAUCCAGAAUGAACUUUGGUUUGUAGUGAAAUUGAACUGUGGGGGUUGUAACACAUUUAUUUUGAAUGUAUACACUUAUGCCAAAGGGGACUGCCCCCUAAUUGACUUUUUGUCAAUGUGCCUAGCCUAGCAAUCAUUGGUUUUGUUCUCUUUCUCUUUUAUCCUCAAAUUAUUGUAAUUUAUAAGUUGGUUGUGUUUACAAGAUCCAUUAGGGAGACUAGUCUUCCAAAGGAUCUCAGGGGGGAUUGUGAACUUGGAAUCUGGUUCCCUAAAAAACUACGAUACCCAGCAAAAAACUAUGAUUCCCAGAACCCCAUUCACUUCCUGUCAUUAUGUGCUGAUGUGGAGAACAUAAAUUGGGUAGAGUUCUGUGUCUAGCCUCUUUUCCUUUCUUUUGGCAGCUUUGGUGGAGCAGGUAGAAAACUUAGUGGAUUUAUUUUGUCAGAUAAUAAACUUUAAAAAUAUAAUACUUGGAGGGCA